Molecule: ribosomal RNA, 478 nt
Filed under: uncultured bacterium
Lineage: Bacteria
Description: partial 16S ribosomal RNA
Rfam family: Bacterial small subunit ribosomal RNA
Source: RNAcentral
GACGAACGCUGGCGGCGUGCUUAACACAUGCAAGUCGAACGGUAAGGCCCUUCGGGGUACACGAGUGGCGAACGGGUGAGUAACACGUGGGUGAUCUGCCCUGCACUUCGGGAUAAGCCUGGGAAACUGGGUCUAAUACCGGAUAGGACCACUGCCUGCAUGGGUGGUGGUGGCAAGCUUUUGCGGUGUGGGAUGGGCCCGCGGCCUAUCAGCUUGGUGGUGGGGUGAUGGCCUAACAAGGCGACGACGGGUAGCCGGCCUGAGAGGGUGACCGGCCACACUGGGACUGAGAUACGGCCCAGACGCCUACGGGAGGCAGCAGUGGGGAAUAUUGCACAAUGGGCGCAAGCCUGAUGCAGCGACGCCGCGUGAGGGAGGACGGCCUUCGGGUUGUAAACCUCCUUCAGCGCCGACGAAGCGCAAGUGACGGUAGGUGCAGAAGAAGGACCGGCCAACUACGUGCCAGCCGCCGCGGUAA